Non-coding RNA from Otolemur garnettii (small-eared galago), 74 nucleotides. The record is from Rfam. Lineage: Eukaryota; Metazoa; Chordata; Mammalia; Primates; Galagidae.
GUCCAUGUGGCUCAAAGGAAUAGGGUGCUGGCCCCAUAUGCUGGAUGUGGCUGGUUCAAACCCAGCCCUGGCCA